Molecule: ribosomal RNA, 352 nt
Filed under: uncultured bacterium
Lineage: Bacteria
Description: partial 16S ribosomal RNA
Rfam family: Bacterial small subunit ribosomal RNA
Source: RNAcentral
CCUACGGGGGGCAGCAGUAGGGAAUCUUCCACAAUGGGCGAAAGCCUGAUGGAGCAACGCCGCGUGGGUGAAGAAGGUCUUCGGAGCGUAAAACCCUGUUGUUAGAGAAGAAAGUGCGUGAGAGUAACUGUUCACGUGUCGACGGUAUCGAACCAGAAAGCCACGGCUAACUACGUGCCAGCAGCCGCGGUAAUACGUAGGUGGCAAGCGUUAGCCGGAUUUAUUGGGCUUAAAGGGGACGAAGGCGUUCUUUUAAGUCUGAUGUGAAAGCCUUCGGCUUAACCGGAGUAGUGCAUUGGAAACUGGGAGACUUGAGUGCAGAAGAGGUGAGUGGAACUCCAUGUGUAGCGGU